Molecule: ribosomal RNA, 119 nt
Filed under: Pteropus alecto (black flying fox)
Lineage: Eukaryota; Metazoa; Chordata; Mammalia; Chiroptera; Pteropodidae
Source: RNAcentral
GUCUACGGCCAUGCCACCCUGAACAAGCCUGAUCCCGUCUGAUCUCGGAAGCUAAGCAGGGUUGGGCCUGGUUAGUACGUGGAUGGGAGACCACCCAGGAAGACCAGGUGCCGUAGACA